CAGCGCCUUCCCUCUUCUGUUUCCGCCGAGGACGAUCACCCGUGUCCGGCUCGAUGGGGAGAGGACAGAGCGAUGGAGAGUCCUGGGCGGGAGCAUCAACCGGCACCUCCGCGCCCUCUUCUCUCCCCAAAUCUCAGCUCGAGGAUCCAAGCUGGUGAAUUUUUUACUCUAUGACACAGAGGCGGCUCCUUCCUCGCACCCCAGACCCGCUGAACGUCUUUACAGACACAAGAGAGCGGAGAUGAGGGCGGAGCACAGAAAGGGAAGAAGAAGCGUGCUGGAAAAUACAUCGGAGCAGUGUCCAGCUAUUUAUUUCAGCAAGGCCAGGAAAAGGAGAGAGUUGGGAGGGGAAUCAGAUUUAUGAAAUUUCCCGGGCUGAGCAGCGAGUUCUGAAACCAGGGAAAGCAGACUGAGAAAUGGUUUUGGGGGAGAUGAAGGCGCGGGGACGCCUGCGGACGGUGACGCUCGCGGUGCAGACCCGACGUGCCAUCAGCUGUCACCCGCGGAGCAGCCGCGUCUGGUCUGCAGGACACGGAGCAGCCGCGGGGGGAAGAUUUUCCUCCAGACAAAACCCCAACAGCGGCGGCUUUUGCCGGGAAAAGAUUCCCCUUGAUCAGCAGCGCCCCAGGUGAAACAGGGGACGCAGCAUUUGCUGAGCACGGGGACCACGCGUCGUGCAGGGCGAGCGGCUCCGCAAACAGGGGCUCCAGGAGCAGCCCCCCCCUGCUCCCCAGAAGCGCUUUAAGCGCUUGGAGCGGAGCAGAGAGGCUGCAAAGCCGCAGCUCUGUGGGGAUCGGCACCCCCGGCGCUGCCGAACCCUCCCGGGGGGCACAUUCACCUUCCCCCCGCCCCGGGAAAGGGCUUUACCUUCACCCGCCAGCUCUGACGCGACAGCAAAAGUAAUUACAGCAAAGCGGCGCUGACAGCGCUAUCGAUCGCGGUGACAAAUGCGCAACGUGUUAUUGCUUUAAUUCCUUGCAGAGGAGCGCGGGCGAGCUGGAUCCACAACCAGCCGGGCCGGCCGCAUCCCGGCCCUGGGAGGAGCAAAACCAUCCGUCGGGAAGCUGUAAUAAACUCCUCCAGCUGGUUUCUGACCGAUUUAAACAGCACAAACCGACGGCGCGAGGGGGGUUUGCGAUCACGACCGAGGGCAGGCGCUGGACACCGUCCCUGCCAAGGGAGACGGAUGCGUUUUCUCGGGUCACCUUCGCUUUGAGAUGCUGCAGGUGUCAGAUGCGACAAACAAAAUCCUCCCCAGCCCUGUGUAUUCAAUCGGCGUCGCUUUGCUCCAUAAAUCAGAGCUGCCGAGUCUCAGCUUGCCGCUAAUGAGUUCGGCCCAACUCAUAUCGCCUCACCCCCCGACGGGCUCGCAGGCCCACUUAGGAAAGCUCCAGCGCAGCUGCAGCCGCUCAGACGCUCCCUGAAUCACCAGCGACGUCUCCUCGUGUCCCGGGAUGAGUCAAACCCCAGUUCCCGCAGCCGAUGUGACGGUGCAGCCGGUUUUCCCGGGAAGGGUGAACCCGCCCGCAGCGUUUCCCCCGCAUCUCCUCCCCAGCCCCGGCUGCUCCCAGGGACAAAGCGGGUGGAGAAGGGCACGAACCGUCCCGUCACCCCCGGGACGGCCCCGGCGCCGCUUCUGAGCAACGAAAACGCUUUUCCCUUCUCCCGGGAGGCGGCGCCGCCGUCACGGCCGUUCCCGCGUCCCCGCUCUGGAGGGGCCUGAGCCCCAGGGAAAGGAGCUGGUGCCGACCCCCCAGAAAAUAACACCCAGAACCCCGGUGACCCCAAAAUUGGACUUUCAGAAGCAUCCGAAUGAACCAGCCGGGUUUGUUGAAGGCGAGACCCGCUCGGACUGACCGUCCCCCACCGGCUCGGCCCCUCCAGAGGUGGGAAACACCAGAUGUGCCCAGUAACCAACUGGUGCUCAGCACCCGCUGAGCCGCCACUGAUCCUGCAAACACCCCCAGAUCCCACAGCUUUAUUUGUGCAAAACGGGGAGGAAGGGACAGGGGGACGACGGCGGCUCAGCCGGAUCCCGCGGCUCGUGGGGAAGCUCUGGGGUGGCACAGGGGCUGUGACAGCAGGACCGGAGCGUUAUUUCCCACGGCACACGUGCUGCCGCCAUCAAAAAGUGUCUUUUGUUACAGAAAUGGAAGCGCCGCGCUCGGCGUCUCAAAGCGUCUCACACCCGAGCCGGCGAACGGCACCAAAGCUGCCGGUUCUCCCUCAAAACGCAAACGGGAAACGCGGAUCCGGACACGGGCUGGCGCGGUUGGCGAUUCCUGCGCCUCGAGAGGCGUCGGAUGAGCCGCAGGAGAUUUCUGCUCCCGAUUUAGGCGCCGGAAAAUCCUCCUGCCAAACCUGGGGCUAAUCGGGCGCGAUCCUCGGGCUGUAAUCUCCUCAGGGCUCUGCCCGGGCCGCGCGGGUCCCGAGGCAGAGACACCGUUACCGCGCUGCACCCAACACCAACAACGACACUUUCCGCGGUAAAACACGGGCGGUUGUCCCAGGAACACCCUCCCGAGGGGUAAUGCAGGCAGAGGAAAGCAGGACAAGCACGGCAGCAGGAUUCUUUUCACUUGGGAAACCCCCUCGGACGCCGCAGCCAGAGCGGUGCAGCCGCUUCCCAGCGCCGAGGUGGAGGAAACUCAAUUCCUCUGUCCCGGCCUUAAAAGGAAGGGAAGUUUCGCUCUCGCUAAGUGACGCUUUUAUGUUUUGAAGCUCAGAGCCAAGAUCCAGCGACAAGAUCCCGUCCGAGAGCAGGACUCGGAGCCGCCCGCACACCCUGCCGGACUGUGGGCACACGGACCAGAAACGCUCCCUCGCCCCAGCGCGACGGGACGGCACAGAAACAACAGAACUGACGUGCCCCAAGAGACAAAAGCUUCGCCUUUCCCACCGGUUCCUCUUCUCCCUCCGAGGUGGAUCCCCCGGGAGGUUUUGGGGCGACAGGAGGUUUCCCGGAGCGCUCCAAAGCCUCCCCGGCUCGCGCUCGUUAUCGCUGCGCCCAUCAGUGACGCUUUGAACGAUAUUUCCCCAGCGAUCUGAACUCUCUACGUAUCAUUUUAUACCAGGCAUUUCCCAGGCUGCCCGGUCAGCUUGUUGUGCUCAACGCUCGCCCCACUAGGGGUAGAUAAUCGCAUUUUAGCUCCUCGGGGCUGCGAUGCCCACGCAAGGAUACCAAGAGGGCUCAAGAACACACCUUUUCCUGGCAAAGGGCGGCCUGCACCGCCGGGCUGGGAGAUAAUAGUGAUUAAGCACCGUGGCUCCUCUCUGCUCGGCUCUGCUUCCACAAACCUAAUCAUGUCAGAGGGAAAGAAAAGGAAAAUCUCCCCCAAGCACGGCUAAACGUAUUAAACUGAGACACGGUGCCACAGCCGCGAGGCAAAUAAAAUACACACGGGCAUCUGUGCUGUCAUUAAAAAAGCCUCUGUGAUA
Molecule: long non-coding RNA, 3438 nt
Organism: Columba livia (rock pigeon)
Lineage: Eukaryota; Metazoa; Chordata; Aves; Columbiformes; Columbidae
Exons: 2
Source: RefSeq, a predicted model, not a curated record